AUAGAUGUUUCUGCAGUCUAUGCUUCUUUGCUCAGUUUUUGGCAGAUAUCUUUUGCAUCCUGGCACUCAGUUGGCACUUUAGGGCAAAGCACAGGCAGGUCCUAGGGAGAAGUGAACGCUAGUGAAUGUGGCUGGAGGAAUAUAAUAACAGGUUUCUUUCUCUUGGGACAAUGGGGGACAAUUGCUUACUUUUAUGUAUUUCAUUAUUGAAAGCAGUGUCUGAUACAAGUCAGACAUUUAAGGUGACAUUUCCAGUGAUUCCAUUUUGUAAUGGUGCUGGAUUGUGUGCUGCCUAGACACGAGCUACUGUGCUAGAUAAGCCACUGGUUUCAGAGUGGCAAUUCUACUUAAACACUAGGAAGCAGCUCACUGCGUAAAUGAGGCUGCAGCUAAAUGACGAAUUGAUGAGGAAAAUUUCAGUGCCAUUUAAAAACAGCAAGAUUAGUAAGAAACUAAUUUCCAUUGACUGUUUCAGUCCCAGCAAUUUCAAAUUGACCAAAAACUGCUAAUCCUAUUAGACAAUAAACUUGUGAUGUCCUAACGUGGGUAGGUAGUCAUGUGGAAACAGUAUUACACACAGUACCAGGAUCUUCAAACCUUACUUUGUUUUAGGAAUUGUGCUUGAUGGCCUACAGUUUGCUGUACUCGGUCAGAAAUUACACAAUGAAAUCACGUGGCUUCCCCAGCAAAUGCUAAAUAUGUAUUUAGAAAAAUGCUUGACACUGAUAAUAAGAGCUCCACAAAACCAUCUCCCUUACUACCCAGAGAGUACCUGCUUGUAUCUGCUCUUUUUGCACUUUCUCUGAUAUGAUGGGACCACAGUCUUUGUAUAGGACUUAGACUCUCCCCUCUACAAAUGUGUGCUCCCAGCAAGGAAGAAGACCCCACAGCCAAUGUUCCGACAGCCUAGAUUUCUGAUGCUUCUCCAGGCUGGUCCCUUUUAAGAAGUAUUUAUGUUGUGUGAGUAAAAUGGUUAGCAGUGCCACAGGAAUUUAUUCUGGGUAUGCCUCAUGUUAAAAUGUUGCCAUUUCUCCCUCCUUUGCCUUGCCUUUUGCGAGUGAUGGCAGAAGGCUGGUGAGAACUCGGUUCUGGCACCACCAGUAUGACUGACUGGCCAUUGGACUUGGAGGAGCAAAGAGAUGCCCAAUGGAACUCUUUCCCCUCCAAGGCAGCAAGAGGAACCGUUCAUAGUACUCCUUUUUAAUAGGAUCUGCUGCCAGUCGUAGACUAGGGAGCUGGCAAAGGGUGGUUAUACAGAUAGCAUGGUGGAAUCUGGCAGGAGUGGGCAGGGUUCACAUCCUUGAUCAACCAUGUGGCAUGACUGCAGUUAGAGAAGUAAGCUCCGUAAAAUGCAGUGUUGUGUACUCAUGACUUCAUAGGUUUAGCUUGUAAAACACAUUGAGCUUUAACAAAUAAUCUUCAGAAAGCUGAAAUGCAACAUUCUCCAGUGGUUCCAGGUUUGGAAGUCUUUACUUAUGAAAUCCUGGAAAGAUUUCCUGGAAGAAUUACUCCUUAGCAGCCUAUAUGGUUAACAGGCUUCUAGCACAGCUUGUUUCUGAUCUGUUGCCACACUAUUUGAAUUCAAUUUCAACAGGCUAUUUCACUUGCAAGACGGAGCAACACGCUUUCAGGAUGGGGCUUGGUGUGUUCAGGCCCCAAAGCCUGAAGGAAAGGAUGUUUCUGAGGAGAGGCUGCUUUCCACUCCUGAUGGAGCUUCAUGGGGCUUGACAGAAUUGUAACUCAGCCUGUGUACCAAAGCAAAAGAAGCUAGUUAGCCCCAUUGUUUGGAUACCUGUAUUCCCUCACUACAGUUGUUUCUUCACAGGAUGAGUUCUUUGCUUUUGGGUUUGGGAGGGAUCAGGAGAGAAAUGGGGUCCACCCAAGGUUCAGCACCUCUCAGCUGCCUAAACUCACAAGUGUGUUCAAAUUUUCCAUGUGGCACAGGGAACAGAGUUUCCACCCCAUCCCUGGUCCAUUGUCUUGCAGCAGUCAUAAAACAUCAUCCUGCAGCAACAACUAUAGCCCACAAUUGCCAAGAAAGACUGUGAUGGGGCUGGACACUGAAAAGUGUUCUCUGAGGCCUCUCCUGUUUUUCCACCCUUUUUACCUCAGGAAUAUUAGCAGCAGUGUGCUCGGGCCUGCCUUUUCCUUUCAGUGCCUCACAGAGGCAGAGCAGGCACACAGGGGAAGGAUAGUUCAUCUAGGCCUUGCUCCUUCUGAAGCAAGAAGGUCCCAAUUCCAUCUAUGCGCAUGAGACGAGUUGAAUAGCACCAGGCCUUUUUUUCCCCCAGCCAGAACUUGCUGGAACUCAGUUCUAGCACCUCUCAGGUGGGCGCCUUUGCUGUUAUAAGAGAACAAGUGAUUUCCGGCACCUCCUUUUCUAGAAAAAUAGCACUGAAUAGCAUUAAUGAGGACUAUUGUUUUUUGAGAAGAAUAAGCAAGCAAUAGAGCUGAUCAGAGUUAAUAUUUCAGGGGGGGACCCUCUGCAUACUAGUGAAGUAUGGGGAAAGGUCCCAGAAUUCUGGGAUUAAGUGUAAGAAUACAUUUGGGCCUCAAUAGUUCAAAAGCCAGAAUAAUUCCAACAACUAGCUACCUUCCUAAAAAGCUGGUGUGCCUCUUCUUUGGUAGCAUCUAGAGACCUUCUAAAAUUUCAUUGCUGUGUUACAUGAAGAGAAAUGGCAGUAGCUCUCCCCUUUUUUUCCUUACAAGGUUGAAGGGCAAAAGGGCUAGUUCUCAAGAUAUAAGAACAAAAUGGAGAUGGAGGAAGCCAUCUUCUCUCAGCAAGGUUAUUCCCCGCUCUCCCGCAAAGCAAGCCCAUUGCUGCCGAGAAACUGAAGCUUAAAGAAACCCACACCUAAACUAAAACCUCAACAUUUCUCUGAGGUUUCGUCUGACAUUUGACGGUGAGACAUUAUGUGGCAGCAGUUGGAGAAAGGAAGACAAGACUGCAGCACCACUUUAUUGCUAUCAGCUGGUUCUAAUUCUCAGCUGGCAACAAUUAAAACAUUUUCCAGAAACGUUUACCCUAAACAUACAUACGAGCAACACAAAUAAUUAUAUAUAUAUAUAUAGUUUUAUUUUACUAUUUUCUUUGAAUUAAGCACAGCUAAUUCCUUCCUAUACUGUGAUGCCCCCCAGAGACCACAACAUUAGAGAGUUGGUAAUAAAAUUGAAUUAGCCCUUUGUGUGGCAGUAUUGAUUUGAUGUUACUCUCCAAUCUAAAAGAGAGCCCAUGCUUCAAAAACUGAGGAGACAUUUUCAGAAGUCAUAUCCUAAGAAACAAUUUGCUCCCCAAAAUGAGCAAAUGCACUUAAGAAGUCUAGAUAAUCAAAUUAUGAUGAGCCUCAUCAGCUAAAAAUGACAUGGUAGGAGACUGCUCUAUAUCCCUUUUAAAUGGGAGGCUAAACGAGAAGCAGAGCAUUUACAAUUAGUCUUUCAAUUCUGGGCUGAUGAGUGUCUUGGGCUGGUCUCCCAACAAGUGAGCUGGAACCCAGUUGAAGUUGGAUUGCACCAGCAAUAUCUCCACCUUUUAAGCAUUUCGAAAGAAGGAAGUGGAAGAUAAGGGGGAAAGAGGAGAAAUGGAAGAAGGAUCGACAUACGGUUAUAAAAAAGGAUAAGUGGAUCCCAAGUUGCAGGAUGCAGCUAAAGGUGAGUCCUACAUCUGAAAAGUUUGAUGACUGUCCUGGAUGAUGUUCAACUUUUAUUGUUUUCCUUGCCAUCAAAGGAAAACAAAAGUAAAAUCUAUUUUUUCUUCAAGGCAUUUGAAAAUUAAGCCUGGACUGGAUUAUCACUUCAAAGUUAUAGGCUGAAGCCUUUAUACAUACCUACAUCAUUUUAUUUGUAU
Molecule: long non-coding RNA, 3844 nt
Filed under: Podarcis lilfordi (Lilford's wall lizard)
Lineage: Eukaryota; Metazoa; Chordata; Lepidosauria; Squamata; Lacertidae
Source: RNAcentral